This is a long non-coding RNA of Lagopus muta (rock ptarmigan), 1259 nucleotides long. RefSeq lists it as uncharacterized. NCBI's taxonomy places the organism in Eukaryota, Metazoa, Chordata, Aves, Galliformes, Phasianidae. The record is from RefSeq and is a predicted model, not a curated record. The transcript has 4 exons.
AGGAAUAGGGCGGGUGGAUGCUUCGGUUCUCCGUGCUUCAGUCAGCCCGGGGGCUCCGCUCUUCUCCAGGUGGGCUUUCGGCUCACCGAUCUGCCCGAAGGAGCGGGUAGUGCUGAGACAGCGGGAAGGCGGCCCGCCCAGUCAGUGUCAGUCAGUCAGUCACCGUGCCCCUCAGCAGCUCUACUUCACAGUGAAGGACUGCAGGGAGUUUUGCAGGAAAUGCUAGUGAUGUGUACAUGGCAACCAGCAGGUCAGGAGAGCUGCUGUAAGGAAUGGGAGCAGCUGAAAAUAGCUGAAAAGAAGAAAAGAACAGAAAAGUUUGCUUUUGUUGGGGAUGCAAGAAGCUGCCUGAGAUUCUCAGCCUCCUCUGCAGUCUCGUGGUUACUCUGAUGACUUCACUCUUCUGCCGUGGCUCAGUGUGACAACCUGUACCUGGUAAAUAAAGCAUCUGUAUGUAGAAUAACAGAACCAGCAAAGAAUGGAAAUGAUCUCCUCUGAAGUAGAAGCACAGAGGACUCUGCUCCUGAGGACUGGUGCAUAUCCCAGCCCCACACAGCUGAGAGCGGGGACCGGCGCGAUAGCAUCUCUCUGUACAGAUUCCGUAAUUAAUUUUAAUUUCUUUAAUUAAGUAUUUAGUCUUUGGGGAAGGAGUAUGAAAAAGUUGUUUCAUAAACUGACAAUGGGCAAUUGUUCUAAGUUUCUUAUCCUGCAGGCACGCAGGAUAAUGAGAGCUAUAGAAAUACUUGGGCAGAUUGAUUGCACGGAGCAGAUAGGAAUCCCUUGGCACAAUCCUCUCAUCUGUUUUCAAAGUAACAGGCACCUCCCAGCUCUUCCAGUGAACAUCACUGUUCCCCCGUGCUGCAAGAAGUUAAACCAGCUUUGUCUGAGUGCAGCUAGUGGGGGACAAAUAUGACAACACUGAAAUGAAAGAAAUACAGAAGGAAAUGGACAGAUGGGACUGAAUUACCACUCUCUAUUGUGAGCAGGACCAAAAAGCAGUGCACAGUAAAAAUCUGGAGACAUCAGUGAUUUCAGAUUCAAGGGGAGAACUUAAGAGAUUUGUAUCCAAAUGUAUUUUCCCUGCACACGUGGAAGAAAUCUUUACAGACUGACUCAAAAAGUGUCCUGUAUGAUAUCAUGUGCAUGUGUCAGAUCAGGAGGUGACACUGGGAAAAUGGCCACUAGUCACAUUUAUUGGACUCCUUGCAUUCAGUGCAUGGAAUGCAGGGGCUUCACUUCAACACUACAAUUUCUCCAGC